GACCCCAGGUCAGGCGGGACUACCCGCUGAGUUUAAGCAUAUAAAUAAGCGGAGGAGAAGAAACUUACAAGGAUUCCCCUAGUAACGGCGAGCGAACCGGGAACAGCCCAGCUUGAGAAUCGGGCGGCUGUGCCGUCCGA
This 140-nucleotide ribosomal RNA is filed under the name Hordeum vulgare. RNAcentral's name for it is "partial 28S ribosomal RNA". It matches the Rfam family "Eukaryotic large subunit ribosomal RNA", at positions 1 to 141 of the family's 3401-position model. Lineage: Eukaryota; Viridiplantae; Streptophyta; Magnoliopsida; Poales; Poaceae. The record is from RNAcentral.